RNAcentral lists this ribosomal RNA (514 nucleotides) under uncultured bacterium. Its description in RNAcentral is "bacterial SSU rRNA". It matches the Rfam family "Bacterial small subunit ribosomal RNA", at positions 791 to 1310 of the family's 1533-position model. The record is from RNAcentral.
UAGUCCACGCCGUAAACGAUGGUUACUAGCUGUUCGGACUUCGGUCUGAGUGGCUAAGCGAAAGUGAUAAGUAACCCACCUGGGGAGUACGUUCGCAAGAAUGAAACUCAAAGGAAUUGACGGGGGCCCGCACAAGCGGUGGAGCAUGUGGUUUAAUUCGAUGAUACGCGAGGAACCUUACCAGGGCUUAAAUGUAGUCUGACAGCUUUAGAGAUAGAGUUUUCUUCGGACAGAUUACAAGGUGCUGCAUGGUUGUCGUCAGCUCGUGCCGUGAGGUGUCAGGUUAAGUCCUAUAACGAGCGCAACCCCUGUUGUUAGUUGCCAGCGGGUAAUGUCGGGAACUCUAGCAAAACUGCCGGUGCAAACCGCGAGGAAGGUGGGGAUGACGUCAAAUCAUCACGGCCCUUACGUCCUGGGCCACACACGUGCUACAAUGGACGGUACAGAGGGCCGCAAUCCCGCGAGGGGGAGCCAAUCCCACAAAGCCGUUCUUAGUCCGGAUCGCAGUCUGCAA